RNAcentral lists this ribosomal RNA (207 nucleotides) under uncultured bacterium. RNAcentral describes it as "partial 16S ribosomal RNA". It matches the Rfam family "Bacterial small subunit ribosomal RNA", at positions 568 to 774 of the family's 1533-position model. The record is from RNAcentral.
CGCGCAGGCGGUUUCGUCAGUCAUGGGUGAAAGCCCCGGGCUCAACCCGGGAAGGGCCUGUGAAACCACGGGACUGGAGUGCUGGAGAGGGAAGCGGAAUUCCCAGUGUAGCGGUGAAAUGCGUAGAUAUUGGGAGGAACAUCGGUGGCGAAGGCGGCUUCCUGGACAGACACUGACGCUGAGGCGCGAAAGCCAGGGGAGCGAACG